CCUACGGGUGGCUGCAGUGGGGAAUAUUGGACAAUGGGCGAAAGCCUGAUCCAGCCAUGCCGCGUGUGUGAAGAAGGCCUUCGGGUUGUAAAGCACUUUCAGUGGGGAAGAAAGCCUUGGGGCUAAUACCCUCGAGGAAGGACAUCACCCACAGAAGAAGCACCGGCUAACUCCGUGCCAGCAGCCGCGGUAAUACGGAGGGUGCGAGCGUUAAUCGGAAUUACUGGGCGUAAAGCGUGCGUAGGCGGUCUGAUAAGCCGGUUGUGAAAGCCCCGGGCUCAACCUGGGAACGGCAUCCGGAACUGUCAGGCUAGAGUGCAGGAGAGGAAGGUAGAAUUCCCGGUGUAGCGGUGAAAUGCGUAGAGAUCGGGAGGAAUACCAGUGGCGAAGGCGGCCUUCUGGACUGACACUGACGCUGAGGUGCGAAAGCGUGGGUAGCAAACAGGAUUAGAUACCCGUGUAGUC
Molecule: ribosomal RNA, 465 nt
Filed under: Vreelandella stevensii
Lineage: Bacteria; Pseudomonadati; Pseudomonadota; Gammaproteobacteria; Oceanospirillales; Halomonadaceae
Description: partial 16S ribosomal RNA
Rfam family: Bacterial small subunit ribosomal RNA
Source: RNAcentral